This is a non-coding RNA of Pelobates cultripes (western spadefoot toad), 336 nucleotides long. NCBI's taxonomy places the organism in Eukaryota, Metazoa, Chordata, Amphibia, Anura, Pelobatidae. The record is from the annotation of a GenBank genome assembly.
CUUAAACCUUGUUUAUUUGGCCCUUGCUAGCCUUUGAGUUUGACAUGCUUGAUGUAGAGUGUUACGGUACCUUCAGCAUCAAAAUGUACAAACCGCCGUUUAGUGAAUGCUCCCCGUUCGCAAUAAUGUAGGCUGUAAGCGUAUCCAAUACAACCAUGCGAACCGCCAGCAAGGGAACACUCCAAACUCCCGAACGGUAUCCGUACGGUCACUUCCCUCCACGAGCCUCAAGCUCACGAACCGCCAAUAUCAGCCGAACCCCGGUAUCUCCCAAGCGGCUGAUAAUUCCAAAUAGCAGUCUCUAGUCACCAGUAAUAAAGUCCCCCCAAUAACGAG